UACGUAGGGGGCGAGCGUUGUCCGGAUUUAUUGGGCGUAAAGAGCUCGUAGGCGGUUGGGUAAGUCGGGUGUGAAAACUCAGGGCUCAACUCUGAGACGCCACUCGAUACUGCCCUGACUCGAGUCCGGAAGAGGAGAGUGGAAUUCCUGGUGUAGCGGUGAAAUGCGCAGAUAUCAGGAAGAACACCCGUGGCGAAGGCGGCUCUCUGGGACGGUACUGACGCUGAGACGCGAAAGCAUGGGGAGCGAACAGG
RNAcentral lists this ribosomal RNA (254 nucleotides) under uncultured bacterium. RNAcentral's name for it is "partial 16S ribosomal RNA". It matches the Rfam family "Bacterial small subunit ribosomal RNA", at positions 524 to 776 of the family's 1533-position model. The record is from RNAcentral.